This 578-nucleotide ribosomal RNA is filed under the name uncultured Bacillus sp. RNAcentral describes it as "bacterial SSU rRNA". It matches the Rfam family "Bacterial small subunit ribosomal RNA", at positions 102 to 665 of the family's 1533-position model. The record is from RNAcentral. Lineage: Bacteria; Bacillati; Bacillota; Bacilli; Caryophanales; Bacillaceae.
ACGGGUGAGUAACACGUGGGUAACCUACCCAUAAGACUGGGAUAACUCCGGGAAACCGGGGCUAAUACCGGAUAACAUUUUGAACCGCAUGGUUCGAAAUUGAAAGGCGGCUUCGGCUGUCACUUAUGGAUGGACCCGCGUCGCAUUAGCUAGUUGGUGAGGUAACGGCUCACCAAGGCAACGAUGCGUAGCCGACCUGAGAGGGUGAUCGGCCACACUGGGACUGAGACACGGCCCAGACUCCUACGGGAGGCAGCAGUAGGGAAUCUUCCGCAAUGGACGAAAGUCUGACGGAGCAACGCCGCGUGAGUGAUGAAGGCUUUCGGGUCGUAAAACUCUGUUGUUAGGGAAGAACAAGUGCUAGUUGAAUAAGCUGGCACCUUGACGGUACCUAACCAGAAAGCCACGGCUAACUACGUGCCAGCAGCCGCGGUAAUACGUAGGUGGCAAGCGUUAUCCGGAAUUAUUGGGCGUAAAGCGCGCGCAGGUGGUUUCUUAAGUCUGAUGUGAAAGCCCACGGCUCAACCGUGGAGGGUCAUUGGAAACUGGGAGACUUGAGUGCAGAAGAGGAAAGUGGA